Molecule: ribosomal RNA, 494 nt
Filed under: uncultured bacterium
Lineage: Bacteria
Description: partial 16S ribosomal RNA
Rfam family: Bacterial small subunit ribosomal RNA
Source: RNAcentral
ACUCAAAUGAAUUGACGGGGGCCCGCACAAGCGGUGGAGCAUGUGGAUUAAUUCGUCACUAACCGAAGAACCUUACCCAGGUUUGACAUCUAUCGCACCGGUGUGAAAGCAUCGUCCCUUCGGGGCGGUAAGACAGGUGUUGCAUGGCUGUCGUCAGCUCGUGUCGUGAGAUGUUGGGUUAAGUCCCGCAACGAGCGCAACCCUCACCUGAUGUUGCCAGCGUAAAGUCGGGAACUCUUCAGGAACUGCCCGUGCAAGCGGGAGGAAGGUGGGGAUGACGUCAAGUCGGCAUGGCCCUUACGCCUGGGGCUUCACACAUGCUACAAUGGUUGGUACAGAGGGCUGCGAGACCGCGAGGUGGAGCAAAUCCCAAAAAACCAUCCUCAGUUCGGAUUGUAGGCUGCAACUCGCCUACAUGAAGCUGGAAUCGCUAGUAACCGCAGGUCAGCGAAACUGCGGUGAAUACGUUCCCGGGCCUUGUACACACCGCCCGU